RNAcentral lists this small RNA (127 nucleotides) under Paenalicyclobacillus ferrooxydans. RNAcentral describes it as "Alicyclobacillus ferrooxydans c-di-AMP sequence". It matches the Rfam family "c-di-AMP riboswitch aptamer (ydaO/yuaA leader)". From Rfam's summary of the family: This family represents a conserved RNA structure found upstream of the ydaO and yuaA genes in Bacillus subtilis and related genes in other bacteria. The ydaO/yuaA element is thought to act as a genetic "off" switch for the ydaO and yuaA genes in its native state. It is believed that the element may be triggered during osmotic shock leading to activation of ydaO, a predicted amino acid transporter gene, and members of the yuaA-yubG operon which code for KtrA and KtrB K+ transporters. The record is from Rfam by way of RNAcentral. Lineage: Bacteria; Bacillati; Bacillota; Bacilli; Caryophanales; Alicyclobacillaceae.
CAAAAAUCCAGUCCGAAUCGCAAGAGCGGGGGAUUCUUUUCUGGGGUGAAUCGCGGCAUAUCGCUGCGUAGGGAAAUCCUUCAACCGAACCCGACAACUAACCUCGUAGGACGCUGAAGGAGUUAUC